Araneus ventricosus is the source of this 67-nucleotide non-coding RNA. The record is from the annotation of a GenBank genome assembly. Lineage: Eukaryota; Metazoa; Arthropoda; Arachnida; Araneae; Araneidae.
UGCAUCGGCCGGAGAUCGCGGGCCGCCCGCGUGGCGAGCGAGCAUUCUACCACUGAACCACCGAUGC